AGCAGCCGCGGUAAUUCCAGCUCCAAUAGCGUAUAUUAAAGUUGUUGCAGUUAAAAAGCUCGUAGUUGAAUUUCGAGAUCGGUUUACUGGUCGUGCUUUUGUACGUACUGGUAUUAUCGGUUUCUCCUUUCUGACGAACCAUAAUGCCAUUAAUUUGGUGUUUUGGGAAAUCAGGACUGUUACUUUGAAAAAAUUAGAGUGUUUAAAGCAGGCUCACGCUUGAAUACAUUAGCAUGGAAUAACGGAAUAGGACGUUUGAUUCUAUUUUGUUGGUUUCUAGGAUCGACGUAAUGAUUAAUAGGGAUAGUUGGGGGCAUUAGUAUUCAAUUGUCAGAGGUGAAAUUCUUGGAUUUAUUGAAGACUAACUACUGCGAAAGCAUUUGCCAAGGAUGUUUUCAUUAAUCAAGAACGAAAGUUAGGGGAUCGAAGACGAUCAGAUACCGUCGUAGUCUUAACCAUAAACCUAUGCCGACUAGGAAUCAGACGAUGUUAAUUUUUUAAUGUAACUCGUUUUGGCACC
This 520-nucleotide ribosomal RNA is filed under the name uncultured Glomus. RNAcentral describes it as "SSU rRNA". It matches the Rfam family "Eukaryotic small subunit ribosomal RNA", at positions 569 to 1087 of the family's 1831-position model. The record is from RNAcentral. Lineage: Eukaryota; Fungi; Glomeromycota; Glomeromycetes; Glomerales; Glomeraceae.